Molecule: long non-coding RNA, 988 nt
Organism: Pantherophis guttatus
Lineage: Eukaryota; Metazoa; Chordata; Lepidosauria; Squamata; Colubridae
Source: RefSeq, a predicted model, not a curated record
CCCCCCCCCCCCCCCCCCAGGUUAAACACAGCCCUGAUAUUAUUCAUGUUGUCUUGUAUUUUCUGUUAUGGAUUGCACCAGUAGAAGCUAAACCAAUUCCGUUGUAUACAUGAUGUACAAUGGCAAUAAAGGCUAUUAUUAUUAUUAUGUGGCCCUCAAUGAAAUCGAGUUUGACACCCCUGUGAUAAUAAGGCCUCCUCUCACUGCUCUGCUUUUGGAGCAGGUGGCUUGGCGGCCCGGCUGGGAAGGGGGGAGAGGGGAACCGGGCAGCUCCAUUCAGGCAAGAGCGAAAACUUUGGAGCACUGCUUAUGAGAGCAUGGUUGGCAUCCACCCUGGCCCGGUUACAAAUAGCCAUGGGCCACCUGUGCCCAAGUGGCAUGUAAAAAUGGUAAAAGAAUCCCUUACUCCGCUAGUCAUUGCCGACUUUAUGGGAUGGUGCUCAUCUCAGUUUCAAGGCCACUGAGUCAGUGCUAUCUGAAGAUACUUAUGUGGGUCAUGUGGCCAACAUGAUGUCACAGAGCACUGAAGUGGUACCUAUUUAUCUACUUGCAUUUGCAUGUUUUCAGGCUGCUAGGUUGGCAGGAGCUGGGGCAAGGACGGGAGCUCACCCCAUCACGUGGCGCUCUGGUCUCGAACUGGCCAGCCCAGCAUCUUAACCGCUGAGCUGCCCCUCUAGUGGCAGGACUGAACCGAAUUAUGAUGAAGCAGCUGUUCUAAAAACAUGCAGUCCGUUUGUUGACGAUAUUGCAUCUAUUUUGGGUUUGCAGCUGCUAAAAAUAUUUUUACACCCAUUUAUGGAUGGAUGUAAUACUUCUCCAUUCAUGAGCCACCAGGGGGCAGACCCGGCCAUCAAAGCAACUUAUUUUGCCUGUCUUCUCCCAGACACAAUUUUCAUUUGUUCCCAUUUGUAGUUCAGCUUCUGCUUCUGAAAAGCCACAGUCCGUACAUGAUUUUGGAAAUGCUUUAAAAUAGAGAGGGAAGAAUCUA